Molecule: ribosomal RNA, 253 nt
Filed under: uncultured bacterium
Lineage: Bacteria
Description: partial 16S ribosomal RNA
Rfam family: Bacterial small subunit ribosomal RNA
Source: RNAcentral
UACGAAGGGGGCUAGCGUUGCUCGGAAUCACUGGGCGUAAAGGGUGCGUAGGCGGGUCUUUAAGUCAGGGGUGAAAUCCUGGAGCUCAACUCCAGAACUGCCUUUGAUACUAUUGGUCUUGAAUGUUGUUGAGGUGGGCGGAACGGGUCAUGUAGCGGUGAAAUGCAUAGAUAUGACCCGGAACACCGAUUGCGAAGGCAGCCCGCUAAGCAACUAUUGACGCUGAGGCACGAAAGCGUGGGGAUCAAACAGG